CGGGGCAGGCUAGAAGUGUGGUAGGGGAGAUCGGAAUUCCCUGGUGUAGCGGUGAAAUGCGCAGAUAUCAGGAGGAACACCGGUGGCGAAGGGCGGAUCUCUGGGGCCAUUACUGACGCUGAGGAGCGAAAAGCGUGGGGAGCGAAACAGGAUUAAGAUACCCCUGGGUAGUCCCACGCCCGUAAAACGGUGGGAAACUAGGGUGUUGGGCGAACAUUUCCACCGUUCGUUCGGUGCCCGCAGCUAAACGCAUUAAGUUCCCCGCCCUGGGGAGUACCGGCCGCAAGGCUAAAACUCAAAAGGAAUUGAACGGGGGCCCGCACAAGGGCAGCGGAGGGCAUGUGGCUUAAUUCGACCGCAACCGCGAAGAACCCUUACCCAAGGCUUGACAUAACGCCGGAAAGCAUCAGAGAUGGUGCCCCCCCUUGUGGUCCGGUGUAUCAGGUGGUGCAUGGCUGU
This 459-nucleotide ribosomal RNA is filed under the name Streptomyces sp. FBZG-3. Its description in RNAcentral is "bacterial SSU rRNA". It matches the Rfam family "Bacterial small subunit ribosomal RNA", at positions 632 to 1052 of the family's 1533-position model. The record is from RNAcentral. Lineage: Bacteria; Bacillati; Actinomycetota; Actinomycetes; Kitasatosporales; Streptomycetaceae.